UGGGGAAUAUUGCACAAUGGGGGAAACCCUGAUGCAGCGACGCCGCGUGAACGAAGAAGGUAUUCGUAUCGUAAAGUUCUGUCCUAUGGGAAGAUAAUGACAGUACCAUAGAAGAAAGCUCCGGCUAAAUACGUGCCAGCAGCCGCGGUAAUACGUAUGGAGCGAGCGUUGUCCGGAAUUAUUGGGCGUAAAGGGUACGCAGGCGGUUUAAUAAGUCGAAUGUUAAAGAUCGGGGCUCAACCCCGCAAAGCAUUGGAAACUGAUAAACUUGAGUAGUGGAGAGGAAAGUAGAAUUCCUAGUGUAGUGGUGAAAUACGUAGAUAUUAGGAGGAAUACCAGUAGCGAAGGCGACUUUCUGGACACAAACUGACGCUGAGGUACGAAAGCGUAGGGAGCAAACAGG
Molecule: ribosomal RNA, 403 nt
Filed under: bacterium
Lineage: Bacteria
Description: partial 16S ribosomal RNA
Rfam family: Bacterial small subunit ribosomal RNA
Source: RNAcentral